GAUGAACGCUGGCGGCGUGCUUAACACAUGCAAGUCGAACGGAAAGGCCCAAGCUUGCUUGGGUGCUCGAGUGGCGAACGGGUGAGUAACACGUGGGUGAUCUGCCCUGCACUUUGGGAUAAGCCUGGGAAACUGGGUCUAAUACCGGAUAGGACCAUCGUUUAGUGUCGGUGGUGGAAAGUUUUUCGGUGUGGGAUGAGCUCGCGGCCUAUCAGCUUGUUGGUGGGGUAAUGGCCUACCAAGGCGUCGACGGGUAGCCGGCCUGAGAGGGUGUACGGCCACAUUGGGACUGAGAUACGGCCCAGACUCCUACGGGAGGCAGCAGUGGGGAAUAUUGCACAAUGGGCGCAAGCCUGAUGCAGCGACGCCGCGUGGGGGAUGACGGACUUCGGGUUGUAAACUCCUUUCGCCAAGGACGAAGCGUUUUGUGACGGUACUUGGAGAAGAAGCACCGGCUAACUACGUG
RNAcentral lists this ribosomal RNA (466 nucleotides) under uncultured bacterium. Its description in RNAcentral is "partial 16S ribosomal RNA". It matches the Rfam family "Bacterial small subunit ribosomal RNA", at positions 28 to 507 of the family's 1533-position model. The record is from RNAcentral.